UAGGGAAUCUUCCGCAAUGGACGCAAGUCUGACGGAGCAACGCCGCGUGAGUGAAGAAGGAUUUCGGUUCGUAAAACUCUGUUGUUAGAGAAGAACAGCGCAUAGAGUAACUGUUAUGCGUGUGACGGUAUCUAACCAGAAAGCCACGGCUAACUACGUGCCAGCAGCCGCGGUAAUACGUAGGUGGCAAGCGUUGUCCGGAUUUAUUGGGCGUAAAGCGAGCGCAGGCGGUCAAUUAAGUCUGAUGUGAAAGCCCCCGGCUCAACCGGGGAAGGUCAUUGGAAACUGGUUGACUUGAGUGUAGAAGAGGAGAGUAGAAUUCGAUGUGUAGCGGUGAAAUGCGUAGAUAUAUGGAGGAACACCAGUGGCGAAGGCGACUCACUGGUAUGUAACUGACGCUGAGGCUCGAAAGCGUGGGUAGCAAACAGG
Molecule: ribosomal RNA, 429 nt
Filed under: Bacteroidota bacterium
Lineage: Bacteria; Pseudomonadati; Bacteroidota
Description: Bacteroidetes bacterium partial 16S ribosomal RNA
Rfam family: Bacterial small subunit ribosomal RNA
Source: RNAcentral